AAAUGCUUUAUUUAUUUAAUGCAGUAUUCAGUUCAUCAGUAACAGUUUAUCAAUACAUAUCCAUCUCUAAAAGAAAUCUUUCUUACCAACACAUUUAUCUUCUACCCAGACCUGCCUUUGGUCUCAUCAUGAAAUUCAGUAACCGGUGAAUAUGACUGCAGCCACUCAAAGCAGAACCCUCUUCUUUCUGCCAUCCAUACUAAAUGUGUCUGGAUCUAGCCCUGAAUUCUCCCAACUGUACAGUUCUUCAGUUUUUAGCCCAAAGGCACAGCUAAGAGGAUUAUUCUUCUUCCACCUCAAAGUCAAGUCUGAUAAUACCGAAAAGAUCAGAGAUUGA
RNAcentral lists this long non-coding RNA (337 nucleotides) under Dromaius novaehollandiae (emu). RNAcentral's name for it is "lncRNA (ENSDNVG00000010176.1)". The record is from RNAcentral. Lineage: Eukaryota; Metazoa; Chordata; Aves; Casuariiformes; Dromaiidae.